UUAUUUUAUUGCUUACACACAUUUGCACGCGGGAGAAAAAUACAAAAAAUACACUCCUCCGUUUUAUUGUUUCCAAAACGAGCCCUGCAGAUGUUUUAGAUUCACGCACACAGAUUGACGACAUUUAAGAAGCCGGCUCAGCUGUAUACCCCACGUAUAUCCCCUACGUCUCCAAAACGUUUCUGGCCCAAAACACAUAUUAUAAUAUUUAGCUGCAGUGUUCUUAUAUCCUUUCCCGCCGGAGGGUUUUCGUCGU
Molecule: non-coding RNA, 256 nt
Organism: Cinara cedri
Lineage: Eukaryota; Metazoa; Arthropoda; Insecta; Hemiptera; Aphididae
Source: the annotation of a GenBank genome assembly